RNAcentral lists this transfer RNA (72 nucleotides) under Camelus bactrianus (Bactrian camel). It matches the Rfam family "tRNA". Rfam says of the family: Transfer RNA (tRNA) molecules are approximately 80 nucleotides in length. Their secondary structure includes four short double-helical elements and three loops (D, anti-codon, and T loops). The record is from Rfam by way of RNAcentral. RNAcentral also lists the same sequence under 2 other names. Lineage: Eukaryota; Metazoa; Chordata; Mammalia; Artiodactyla; Camelidae.
GGGGGUAUGGCUCAGGGGUAGAGUGUGUGCUUAGCACACACGAGGUCCUGGGUUCAACCCCCAGCACCUUCA